Molecule: ribosomal RNA, 253 nt
Filed under: uncultured bacterium
Lineage: Bacteria
Description: partial 16S ribosomal RNA
Rfam family: Bacterial small subunit ribosomal RNA
Source: RNAcentral
CACGUAGGGCGCAAGCGUUGUCCGGAAUUACUGGGCGUAAAGAGCUCGUAGGUGGUUUGUCGCGUUGUUCGUGAAAACUCACAGCUUAACUGUGGGCGUGCGGGCGAUACGGGCAGACUUGAGUACUGCAGGGGAGACUGGAAUUCCUGGUGUAGCGGUGGAAUGCGCAGAUAUCAGGAGGAACACCGGUGGCGAAGGCGGGUCUCUGGGCAGUAACUGACGCUGAGGAGCGAAAGCGUGGGGAGCGAACAGG